AAAUUGAAGAGUUUGAUCAUGGCUCAGAUUGAACGCUGGCGGCAGGCCUAACACAUGCAAGUCGAACGGUAACAGGAAGCAGCUUGCUGCUUCGCUGACGAGUGGCGGACGGGUGAGUAAUGUCUGGGAAACUGCCUGAUGGAGGGGGAUAACUACUGGAAACGGUAGCUAAUACCGCAUAAUGUCGCAAGACCAAAGAGGGGGACCUUCGGGCCUCUUGCCAUCGGAUGUGCCCAGGUGGGAUUAGCUUGUUGGUGGGGUAACGGCUCACCAAGGCGACGAUCCCUAGCUGGUCUGAGAGGAUGACCAGCCACACUGGAACUGAGACACGGUCCAGACUCCUACGGGAGGCAGCAGUGGGGAAUAUUGCACAAUGGGCGCAAGCCUGAUGCAGCCAUGCCGCGUGUAUGAAGAAGGCCUUCGGGUUGUAAAGUACUUUCAGCGGGGAGGAAGGGAGUAAAGUUAAUACCUUUGCUCAUUGACGUUACCCGCAGAAGAAGCACCGGCUAACUCCGUGCCAGCAGCCGCGGUAAUACGGAGGGUGCAAGCGUUAAUCGGAAUUACUGGGCGUAAAGCGCACGCAGGCGGUUUGUUAAGUCAGAUGUGAAAUCCCCGGGCUCAACCUGGGAA
Molecule: ribosomal RNA, 630 nt
Filed under: Escherichia coli
Lineage: Bacteria; Pseudomonadati; Pseudomonadota; Gammaproteobacteria; Enterobacterales; Enterobacteriaceae
Description: bacterial SSU rRNA
Rfam family: Bacterial small subunit ribosomal RNA
Source: RNAcentral